UCUAUCCAAGUGGCCCUCUGUUCCCCCCAACACCACCUCUCUUCCUCCACAACACACAUUGUGUGUGCUUUUUUAAACAGGCGGUAAGGCAAGGGUUAACACACCAGUGACAGCCACUUCCGAGAUAGCAUUUCGACAUCAUGUUUUAUGAGUAAAGCACGUCUUAAAAAAAAAUUGACUAAGUGUGGGCGCAGGCUAAUUAGCAGCAAAACCCUUCAGUGUGUGCGAGCAGGGAUCCUUCGGAGCUGAAAACCAGCCUUUUUUUUUUAUAAAGCCUGUUAUUCCUUUUCAACUGCAAUCUCGGUGAUUAAGAUGCCUUUGGGAGUUGAAUUUCUGGGAAUAGAUUGCAGAAGUUUAUUCCUCAGCUGGUUUCCAAUAAUGAUCAUCAGACAAUUAAUCUUUUACUCAUCUGUUCCCCACCUGACAAAUUCCCCCACUGUGAUUGUGAUGGUGGGAUUACCAGCUCGAGGGAAGACCUAUAUUGCUAAGAAACUGACUCGCUACCUCAACUGGAUUGGAGUCCCGACUAAAGUCUUUAAUGUUGGAGAAUACCGUCGAGAGGCUGUAAAAUGGUACCGUUCUUAUGAUUUCUUCCGGCAUGACAAUGAAGAUGCAAUGAAGAUUAGAAAGCAGUGUGCCUUAGCGGCUUUAAGAGACGCAAAAUCCUACCUGACUGAGGAAGGUGGUCAAAUUGCAGUUUUUGAUGCUACAAAUACCACAAGGGAGAGGAGAGAGAUGAUCCUAAACUUUGCCAAAGAAAAUGAAUGGAAGGUAUUUUUUGUGGAAUCUGUUUGUGAUGAUCCAAGUGUAGUGGCUGCAAAUAUUAUGGAUGUGAAAGUAUCCAGUCCAGAUUAUAUGGAUUGUAACAGAACAGAUGCAAUGGAAGACUUCCUGAAGAGAAUUGAAUGCUAUAAAGCAACGUACCAGCCCUUGGACCCAGAUCAUUAUGACAAGGAUCUGUCGUUCAUCAAAGUGAUUAAUGUCGGCCGGAGGUUCCUUGUAAACAGGGUCCAAGGCCACAUCCAGAGCAAAAUAGUUUAUUACCUGAUGAAUAUUCAUAUCCAGCCUCGGACAAUUUACUUGUGUCGCCAUGGGGAAAGCGAAUACAAUCUCCAAGGCAGGAUUGGCGGUGACUCUGGUCUCUCGUACAGGGGAAAGAAGUUUUCCUCCGCACUAAGCACCUUCCUGGAGGAGCAGAAUCUUAAGGAUCUGAAGGUGUGGACCAGCCAAUUAAAGCGAACCAUACAAACGGCAGAGGUUUUGGGUGGUCGAUAUGAGCAAUGGAAAGCUCUGAAUGAAAUAGAUGCUGGUGUAUGUGAGGACCUGACGUAUGAAGAAAUAAAGGAACAGCACCCUGAGGAAUAUGCAUUACGUGAACAAGACAAAUAUUAUUACCGCUACCCAACUGGUGAGUCCUACCAAGACUUGGUGCAGCGUUUGGAACCAGUCAUCAUGGAACUGGAGAGACAGGGAAAUGUCUUGGUCAUCUGCCACCAGGCUGUGAUGCGUUGUCUCCUUGCUUAUUUUCUAGAUAAAAGUGCAGACGAGCUGCCAUAUCUAAAGUGUCCUCUUCACACAGUAUUAAAAUUGACUCCAUUUGCUUAUGGCUGUAAGGUUGAGUCUAUCUUUUUAAAUGUGGAAGCAGUAAACACACACAGAGAUCGACCAGAGGACAUUGGUAAGAAGGGAUCUAACCCACUCAUGCGUCGCAAUAGUGUUACCCCUCUGGCAAGCCCAGAACCCAACAAAAAGCCGAGGAUUGAAGGCCUAGAUGACCAUGUGGCCUCCUCUUCCUCAGCCAUGCCCGUCUGCCUGGCCUCUGAAGUGUCCACACCCCUGCCUGGACAAUACAGAUGAUGGGCGGAAUGGAUUGCUGGUUUCAGUAUGACCCUGAAUGGAGGAAGAAAGAAAGGAGACCACUUUUUGAGUCCUGCAGUAGCAAUUUUCCCUGCAGUUUGUGCAAUACAAUUGGUACUGGAGGGUUGCACAAGGAUAUAGUCCUUUUCACAUUCCAGGGAUCUGUAUUCAAAUAAAACAAAACUGUGGAUGCCGAAGAUCUGAAACGCACCAAAACAGGAAUUGCUGGAGAAACUCAGCAGAUCUAGCAGCAUCUAUGGAGGGGAAAAAAGAUAGUGAAUGAGAUGCCAAGAUCUUCGGAGGCUGUGUGACCAUCUCCCUCGUACCAAGAAUGAAAACCUUCCUUUCAAUUUUUUAAAAAUUAUGAAGCUGCAUAUGCUUUGAUCCACCCCUUCACUGGCCCAAAACUUCCAUUAUUAAAAGGUACUGGAUUCCUUUGCGUGAAUCUCUGGUUGUCGGUUUCUUCAAGUGAUUCACUGGAGAGAUGAAAGAUUUACGGAUUGCAGACUUCACCAGAAAGGACAUUGACUAUUCUCACUGUUGACUGUAAUUUGAAUGUCUUGCUACUGUAAUAAUGUGCAAGUGCUUUUAGUGAACAAAACUUGUUCUUCUGUUUGUAAAUACCUAGUAAAUCUCGUUGGAGGGAUAUAUUGAAGUGCGUGUGCGCGUGUGUGCGUGUGUGCGAUGUAAAUAGUUGCCUAAUGAGGGUUGAAUCUGGAUUCCCUAUGCUUUGGUGUGCAUGAAUCCAUGCAAUCUUUUAAAUGUAUGAAUGUUUCUGGUCCUGAAAUUGACACUAUGAUAACACAGAUGAUUUGUGACCAGUCGAAAUUCAUAAUGCUGGAAUUCAUGUUCACAAAGUUGGCACACUGGUACCUAAAAUAAGUGGCCAAAUAUUGUAUCUGGGGCAGAAUAAGGCUGGGGUUGCCAUUUGACCAAAUUUGUUUUUAAUUAUUUGUUUUUCUCUUUUUGUCAGCAUUUCACAGAAAUGAUUUGAAAUACCAGAUGUUGUUUCUUUUGAUUUAUGAUGGUUCCCAGGCUUGUAAUUACAUCCUGGAGUUACAAACAUAGUGCGACAGACCAGACCUGUCAAACUACAAGUAAUUGUUUUCAGAGUACCUGUUUGCACAUCGCUGUGAAAAGCCAUCUUUCUUUUUCAUAAAAUGUUAAUAACUUGAUGGCUUUCCAGUUCAGCUUACAUUUGGAGAAGAUGCAUGCUCAGCACUUGAACAGGGAAGGUAUUCAUUCCUAAAAUGUUGAAGGGCACCAUUGAAACUUCCAUGUUUGUGGUCCUGCUUCUUAAUCCCAUAAAACGGUAUGGACUCGGUCACUUGUAUGAAUUGGUGGUGAUGUCUCUGGAAUCCAGUUUUGGAUGUGAGAACCUACCUUUUUAUUUCUUAAUUACACUCUUGGGCCACAAUUUAGUGCUGGCCUUUGUAGUCUCUGCUAAUGGAACAAUGUCACCUUCGUGGUCAGGCUUUGUAAUGUAACCAUUCAGAACAAGAUUUAAUGACUUCAAAUGAAAUUUGUUACCAAAUGCAUUGAGCUACCAGAAUAUUUAACUGUUCCAUCUGAUGUCUGCUGUUUAUUGAUUAGCUGUGCUACUGGUUUUGGAGCAGCCAAGGAUUCUGAUAUUACCAAAGGAUCUAGUUUUGUUUGCUGUGCUCCAAGUCUUUCGGUUAACUCUGUUACAUUAGCUGACGCGUGGGAUGAUAAAACCGCAGUGCCUCGUGCGUUUGUCUUGCACAGCAUAAAUCUUGCGUUUAGCUGUAUUGGUGAGGAAGCUUGAAGCUGUACUUGACAUGUAGUCUACCAGCAUGAUAUCGACAUUCUACCCCCUAUUUUGAGAGAAAUGCGUUGUUGCACAAGUUUUAUUUAUCUGAUUUUGUUUUUGGUUCAGAGGGAUUGGUUUUAGUGGGUGUUUUUUAAACCAGUUAGAAUAAGGGUUUCUUCUGCUGACUGCAGCUUUAGUGAGUAUUGGAUUCCAAAGCAUUCACCAAAGCAUUUCUGUCAUAAUGUUCUCAUUCCAAUUGAAUGGCAUCAUUAUUUUCUGACCUUAAAGUGGAUCGGUAAACCCUGUGUGGAUAGGCUUGGGGACAAACUGAGCAAGCUGUUUGGUUUUUAUUUUGUAGUUUAUUGUUGAAUGAAUGUUAGGUUUUUUUGUAUUUUUAUAGUACUGAUUCUGUUCUGACACAAAUUUAUUUAAGAUGCUAGUUCAGAGUUUGGAAAAGACCUUGUCCAUCUCAGUGUGGCAUGUUGCAUCUUCUGUGUGUGCAUGUAUGUAGGUAUACAUUACCUUCUUUCCUGAGGGGAAAAUAGCUAGGUCAUACCAGCAGAAGUAUACAGGGUACAUCUUUCUGAUUAUGUAUAUUUUGCAUUUGCUGGACCAAUAAUAAAAACUUAACUUAAAAUAAAA
Rhincodon typus (whale shark) is the source of this 4270-nucleotide RNA transcript. It is a transcript of the gene named 6-phosphofructo-2-kinase/fructose-2,6-biphosphatase 3, with no coding region annotated. The record is from RefSeq and is a predicted model, not a curated record. The transcript has 17 exons. Lineage: Eukaryota; Metazoa; Chordata; Chondrichthyes; Orectolobiformes; Rhincodontidae.